AGAGUUUGAUCAUGGCUCAGAUUGAACGCUGGCGGCAGGCCUAACACAUGCAAGUCGAGCGGAAACAGGAAGGUGCUUGCAUCUUUGCUGUCGAGCGGCGGACGGGUGAGUAAUGCCUAGGGAACUGCCCAGUCGAGGGGGAUAACAGUUGGAAACGACUGCUAAUACCGCAUACGCCCUACGGGGGAAAGGAGGGGACCUUCGGGCCUUUCGCGAUUGGAUGUACCUAGGUGGGAUUAGCUAGUUGGUAAGGUAAUGGCUUACCAAGGCAACGAUCCCUAGCUGGUCUGAGAGGAUGAUCAGCCACACUGGAACUGAGACACGGUCCAGACUCCUACGGGAGGCAGCAGUGGGGAAUAUUGCACAAUGGGCGAAAGCCUGAUGCAGCCAUGCCGCGUGUGUGAAGAAGGCCUUCGGGUUGUAAAGCACUUUCAGCGAGGAGGAAAGGGUAGUAGUUAAUAACUGCUAUCUGUGACGUUACUCGCAGAAGAAGCACCGGCUAACUUCGUGCCAGCAGCCGCGGUAAU
Molecule: ribosomal RNA, 527 nt
Filed under: uncultured Shewanella sp.
Lineage: Bacteria; Pseudomonadati; Pseudomonadota; Gammaproteobacteria; Alteromonadales; Shewanellaceae
Description: bacterial SSU rRNA
Rfam family: Bacterial small subunit ribosomal RNA
Source: RNAcentral